UCCGUUGGUGAACCAGCGGAGGGAUCAUUACCGAGUGUAAAAACUCCCAAACCAUUGUGAACUUACCACUGUUGCUUCGGCGGCCUCGCCCCGGGCGCGUUCGCGCGGCCCGGACCCAGGCGUCCGCCGGAGGCUCCAAACUCUUGUCUUUUAGUGUAUUUCUGAGUGGCAUAAGCAAAUAAAUCAAAACUUUCAGCAACGGAUCUCUUGGUUCUGGCAUCGAUGAAGAACGCAGCAAAAUGCGAUAAGUAAUGUGAAUUGCAGAAUUCAGUGAAUCAUCGAAUCUUUGAACGCACAUUGCGCCCGCCAGUAUUCUGGCGGGCAUGCCUGUCUGAGCGUCAUUUCAACCCUCAGGACCCGUUCGCGGGACUUGGCGUUGGGGAUCAGCCUGCCCCUGGCGGCGGCUGGCCCUGAAAUCCAGUGGCGGUUCCCCCGCGAACUCCUCCGUGCAGUAAUUAAACCUCUCGCGGCAGGAUAGCGGUUGAACCACGCCGUUAAACCCCCCACUUCUCAAGGUUGACCUCAGAUCAGGUAGGAAUACCCGCUGAACUUAAGCAUAUCAAUAAGCGGAGGA
RNAcentral lists this ribosomal RNA (574 nucleotides) under uncultured fungus. RNAcentral's name for it is "eukaryotic LSU rRNA". The stretch from base 188 to 341 matches the Rfam family "5.8S ribosomal RNA". Lineage: Eukaryota; Fungi. The record is from RNAcentral.